RNAcentral lists this non-coding RNA (41 nucleotides) under Otolemur garnettii (small-eared galago). The record is from RNAcentral. Lineage: Eukaryota; Metazoa; Chordata; Mammalia; Primates; Galagidae.
GGCUCGGCGCCUGCGGCUCAAGCGACUAGGGCGCCAGCCAC